GUGUCAGCAGCCGCGGUAAUACGUAGGUGGCAAGCGUUGUCCGGAAUUAUUGGGCGUAAAGCGCGCGCAGGCGGUCCUUUAAGUCUGAUGUGAAAGCCCACGGCUCAACCGUGGAGGGUCAUUGGAAACUGGGGGACUUGAGUGCAGAAGAGGAAAGCGGAAUUCCACGUGUAGCGGUGAAAUGCGUAGAGAUGUGGAGGAACACCAGUGGCGAAGGCGGCUUUCUGGUCUGUAACUGACGCUGAGGCGCGAAAGCGUGGGGAGCAAACAGGAUUAGAUACCCCCGUAGUCC
Molecule: ribosomal RNA, 292 nt
Filed under: uncultured bacterium
Lineage: Bacteria
Description: partial 16S ribosomal RNA
Rfam family: Bacterial small subunit ribosomal RNA
Source: RNAcentral